RNAcentral lists this ribosomal RNA (446 nucleotides) under uncultured bacterium. RNAcentral's name for it is "bacterial SSU rRNA". It matches the Rfam family "Bacterial small subunit ribosomal RNA", at positions 330 to 794 of the family's 1533-position model. The record is from RNAcentral.
GCCAGACUCCUACGGGAGGCAGCAGUGGGGAAUAUUGCACAAUGGGGGAAACCCUGAUGCAGCGACGCCGCGUGAGCGAAGAAGUACCUCGGUAUGUAAAGCUCUAUCAGCAGGGAAGAAAGUGACAGUACCUGACUAAGAAGCCCCGGCUAACUCCGUGCCAGCAGCCGCGGUAAUACGGAGGAUGCGAGCGUUAUCCGGAUUUAUUGGGUUUAAAGGGUGCGUAGGCGGAAUGCCAAGUCAGCGGUAAAAUCGCGGGGCUCACCCUCGCUCCGCCGUUGAAACUGGCGUUCUUGAGUGGGCGAGAAGUAUGCGGAAUGCGUGGUGUAGCGGUGAAAUGCAUAGAUAUCGCGCAGAACUCCGAUUGCGAAGGCAGCAUGCCGGCUCCACACUGACGCUGAGGCACGAAAGCGUGGGUAUCGAACAGGAUUAGAUACCCUGGUAUG